RNAcentral lists this ribosomal RNA (562 nucleotides) under uncultured eukaryote. RNAcentral's name for it is "SSU rRNA". It matches the Rfam family "Eukaryotic small subunit ribosomal RNA", at positions 1 to 566 of the family's 1831-position model. The record is from RNAcentral.
UCUGGUUGAUCCUGCCAGUAGUCAUAUGCUUGUCUCAAAGAUUAAGCCAUGCAUGUCUAAGUAUAAGCAAUUUAUACAGUGAAACUGCGAAUGGCUCAUUAAAUCAGUUAUCGUUUAUUUGAUAGUUCCUUUACUACAUGGUAUAACUGUGGUAAUUCUAGAGCUAAUACAUGCUUAAAAUCUCGACCCUUUGGAAGAGAUGUAUUUAUUAGAUAAAAAAUCAAUGUCUUCGGACUCUUUGAUGAUUCAUAAUAACUUUUCGAAUCGCAUGACCUUGUGCUGGCGAUGGUUCAUUCAAAUUUCUGCCCUAUCAACUUUCGAUGGUAGGAUAGUGGCCUACCAUGGUUCCAACGGGUAACGGGGAAUAAGGGUUCGAUUCCGGAGAGGGAGCCUGAGAAACGGCUACCACAUCCAAGGAAGGCAGCAGGCGCGCAAAUUACCCAAUCCUAAUUCAGGGAGGUAGUGACAAUAAAUAACGAUACAGGGCCCAUUCGGGUCUUGUAAUUGGAAUGAGUACAAUGUAAAUACCUUAACGAGGAACAAUUGGAGGGCAAGUCUGGUA